CAGAUAGCUGAUCUUUUUAAUAUGGAGGUGGUGAUUGGAUGGGACCUUGAAUUGACCUUAUUAGGGUGAGCUGGAAGCAAAGGACUCCAAGAUGGGAAAAGCCACACAAUGGAGGGAUCCCAGCAUGCACCAGAUGUUCACGAAAUGACCACGUGGAUUGGAUCCCAUUGUCCAGAGGAUCCUAGCCCAAGAGACCAUAGUUGACUGGUAUCCUCAGACCCUCCCGGGUAGUGUACCUGUGGGCUGUGGCACACCUGGAGGGAGAGCCGCUCUCGACGGAUGAGGACACGCUGACAUAGAGAGGUCGAGGUGGCAGUCCAGACCAGGUGACGUUUCCUCAGUGUGCACGAACGCAGUACCACCAGACCAGGAACCGGGAUCAAAGUUUAGGAAGGAAAUCAACAUUUUAGUCAGAGGGUGGCUGGUUUCGGGGAGAGCGGGUAAGGCUCUGAAAAGGAAAACAAAUAGAUCUGAGGCCUCGUCAGGAUGUAGAAUAUCAGUGAAUAGGGGCAAGUGGUUCAGAACUAAGGUUUUAAACGGGGAAGGCACUGGAGGACCGGCCCGCCUGCCAAGCUGGUCUGCAGGCUCCCUGUGGACAAGCGUCUUCUCCGUGGG
Long non-coding RNA from Leopardus geoffroyi (Geoffroy's cat), 615 nucleotides. RefSeq lists it as uncharacterized. The record is from RefSeq and is a predicted model, not a curated record. NCBI's taxonomy places the organism in Eukaryota, Metazoa, Chordata, Mammalia, Carnivora, Felidae. The transcript has 4 exons.